UGGGGAAUAUUGGACAAUGGGCGAAAGCCUGAUCCAGCCAUGCCGCGUGUGUGAAGAAGGUCUUCGGAUUGUAAAGCACUUUAAGUUGGGAGGAAGGGCAUUAACCUAAUACGUUAGUGUUUUGACGUUACCGACAGAAUAAGCACCGGCUAACUCUGUGCCAGCAGCCGCGGUAAUACAGAGGGUGCAAGCGUUCAUCGGAAUUACUGGGCGUAAAGCGCGCGUAGGUGGUUUGUUAAGUUGGAUGUGAAAGCCCCGGGCGCAACCUGGUGACUGCAUCCAAAACUGGCAAGCUAGAGUACGGUAGAGGGUGGUGGAAUUUCCUGUGUAGCGGUGAAAUGCGUAGAUAUAGGAAGGAACACCAGUGGCGAAGGCGACCACCUGGACUGAUACUGACACUGAGGUGCGAAAGCGUGGGGAGCAAACA
This 427-nucleotide ribosomal RNA is filed under the name uncultured bacterium. Its description in RNAcentral is "partial 16S ribosomal RNA". It matches the Rfam family "Bacterial small subunit ribosomal RNA", at positions 355 to 774 of the family's 1533-position model. The record is from RNAcentral.